GAUGAACGCUGGCGGCGUGCCUAAUACAUGCAAGUCGAGCGAACGGACGAGAAGCUUGCUUCUCUGCUGUUAGCGGCGGACGGGUGAGUAACACGUGGAUAACCUACCUAUAAGACUGGGAUAACUUCGGGAAACCGUAGCUAAUACCGGAUAAUAUUUUGAACCGCAUGGUUCAAAAGUGAAAGACGGUCUUGCUGUCACUUAUAGAUGGAUCCGCGCUGCAUUAGCUAGUUGGUAAGGUAACGGCUUACCAAGGCAACGAUGCAUAGCCGACCUGAGAGGGUGAUCGGCCACACUGGAACUGAGACACGGUCCAGACUCCUACGGGAGGCAGCAGUAGGGAAUCUUCCGCAAUGGGCGAAAGCCUGACGGAGCAACGCCGCGUGAGUGAUGAAGGUCUUCGGAUCGUAAAACUCUGUUAUUAGGGAAGAACAUAUGUGUAAGUAACUGUGCACAUCUUGACGGUACCUAAUCAGAAAGCCACGGCUAACUACGUG
Molecule: ribosomal RNA, 497 nt
Filed under: uncultured bacterium
Lineage: Bacteria
Description: partial 16S ribosomal RNA
Rfam family: Bacterial small subunit ribosomal RNA
Source: RNAcentral